CUGGGUCGGAACGGAGCCAUCGCCGCUGGAGUAUUCGGGGCCCUUUUCAUCGGGUACUGCAUCUACUUCGACCGCAAAAGACUGAAGUGACCCCAACUUAAAGAAUAGGCGUCCAGAAUAAAGAAAGAAACAGAAGCUGGCCGAGGAGUGAGUUGAGCUUUCCAAGUUAGCUGACCUUAAAGAUGCUGAAGCUGUCCAGAAAUUCUUCCUGGAAGAGAUAUAGCUUUGGUGAAGAGAUCCUAGCUAAAGGUGUAGACCACCUGACAAAUCCAAGUGCUGUGUGUGGACAGCCACAGUGGUUACUGCAAGUGUUACAACAAACUCUUCCACUACCAGUGAUCCAGAUGCUUCUGACAAAGCCCCUACCAGUUAAUCAGAGACUUGUAAGUGCUGGCGCUUGGCCAAAGACGAUGUGGAAUGA
Molecule: long non-coding RNA, 421 nt
Filed under: Homo sapiens (human)
Lineage: Eukaryota; Metazoa; Chordata; Mammalia; Primates; Hominidae
Description: non-protein coding lnc-SLFN14-2:1
Source: RNAcentral